This 253-nucleotide ribosomal RNA is filed under the name uncultured bacterium. RNAcentral's name for it is "partial 16S ribosomal RNA". It matches the Rfam family "Bacterial small subunit ribosomal RNA", at positions 524 to 776 of the family's 1533-position model. The record is from RNAcentral.
UACGUAGGGGGCAAGCGUUGUCCGGAAUCAUUGGGCGUAAAGAGCGUGUAGGCGGCCCGAUAAGUCCGCUGUGAAAGUCCAGGGCUCAACCCUGGGAUGCCGGUGGAUACUGUCGGGCUCGAGUCCGGAAGAGGAGUGUGGAAUUCCUGGUGUAGCGGUGAAAUGCGUAGAUAUCGGAAGGAACACCUGUGGCGAAAGCGGCUCACUGGACCAUAACUGACGCUGAGGCGCGAAAGCUAGGGGAGCAAACAGG